UGCGAACGGGUGAGUAACGCGUACGUAACCUGCCUUGUAGCGGGGGAUAACUAUUGGAAACGAUAGCUAAUACCGCAUAACAAUGGAUGACCCAUGUCAUUUAUUUGAAAGGGGCAAAUGCUCCACUACAAGAUGGACCUGCGUUGUAUUAGCUAGUAGGUGAGGUAACGGCUCACCUAGGCGACGAUACAUAGCCGACCUGAGAGGGUGAUCGGCCACACUGGGACUGAGACACGGCCCAGACUCCUACGGGAGGCAGCAGUAGGGAAUCUUCGGCAAUGGGGGCAACCCUGACCGAGCAACGCCGCGUGAGUGAAGAAGGUUUUCGGAUCGUAAAGCUCUGUUGUAAGUCAAGAACGAGUGUGAGAGUGGAAAGUUCACACUGUGACGGUAGCUUACCAGAAAGGGACGGCUAACUACGUGCCAGCAGCCGCGGUAAUACGUAGGUCCCGAGCGUUGUCCGGAUUUAUUGGGCGUAAAGCGAGCGCAGGCGGUUUGAUAAGUCUGAAGUUAAAGGCUGUGGCUCAACCAUAGUUCGCUUUGGAAACUGUCAAACUUGAGUGCAGAAGGGGAGAGUGGAAUUCCAUGUGUAGCGGUGAAAUGCGUAGAUAUAUGGAGGAACACCGGUGGC
Molecule: ribosomal RNA, 631 nt
Filed under: uncultured Bacilli bacterium
Lineage: Bacteria; Bacillati; Bacillota; Bacilli
Description: bacterial SSU rRNA
Rfam family: Bacterial small subunit ribosomal RNA
Source: RNAcentral